Non-coding RNA from Chelonoidis abingdonii (Abingdon island giant tortoise), 102 nucleotides. NCBI's taxonomy places the organism in Eukaryota, Metazoa, Chordata, Testudines, Testudinidae. The record is from RefSeq and is a predicted model, not a curated record.
CAGCUGUCACCUCUCUUGGGCAGAAACCCACCUCUCUCUCCCUCCUGACUGGGGUUUUCCAGGUUGCAGAGUUCCCUGCCUGUGCUUCAUUUUUCCCAGCAA